This 2151-nucleotide long non-coding RNA is filed under the name Marmota monax (woodchuck). Lineage: Eukaryota; Metazoa; Chordata; Mammalia; Rodentia; Sciuridae. The record is from RNAcentral.
UUUUUUUUUUUCCUGGAAUAACAGUUGACAGUAAUGUUAUGGGUCAUCAUAACAUGUGACGUCUCUCUGUCCAGUCUCUUGUUACUCUGCCAUUUCAUAAAGCUGAUGCUUCCUGUUGAAUUGGAUUAUAUCUGCACUAAGUCACAGUGUUAUUUUUUGUAUUUUUCUUCUUUUUUUUGAAAAGGGAAUUUAAUGAACCACACAGAUAUCAUCUUUAAUCAGCAGAACAGUGAUGAAUAUUAAUAGGAUUUAGUCCUAGAUUUCUCUGUAUCUAAACUCAUUUGAGCUCAUAAGAAUAUAUGGAUAAUCUGUCUUGAAAAAGUUUCUUUCUGGUCUCAUUGCCAAGGAUUAAAACAGAAUAGUAUUAAAGAAAUAUUAUUUCUUUCUCUGUCCAAGUUUUUAACAUUUUUCUUUUGGGCUAUGCUAUUAGAAAAAAAUAUUUUUUGGAGGAGGGGACCUGUAUUUUUGUUAUUAAAAUAAGUGACAAUAUUCAUUAAGGGGAGGAAUUUUUUUUUCUUUUCUUUUUUCUGGUAUGAUUUUGUUUGGAAUUUUUCCCUGAAAUAAAGAGAGUGAUUGAAAUAUAGCCCUUGCAAUCCAAGAGAUACCAACCACUGUGUUUGGUGUAGCUAGUAAUGCUCUUGCUUUAGGCUUCAUUAUUAGUUAUUCUAAUGAAUUACCACACCUAUGAAGGAUUAAGCUUUUGGGUAUGGUAUUGAAUAACUUGUCCAUGAUAAAUGCAGACAAAUAGUCUUCGUGCUAAUUUGAUUUAGUUUUUUGGUAUUAUCCCAUUUAAGUUCUCUCAUUUUUAUCCUUGCCAAUCUAGCGCAUAUCACGUACUAAUACAUCACUAGGUAUGAAAACAGAUUUAGGGUCUUGGAGGGCCCACAGCUUGGCUCAAGGACUGAGAUCAAUAACCAGCAAUUCAGCACUGACUGUUACCCUAGCCCAGUCCUAACCUUUCUUCCCUCUCUUCUUGUCUUUGUGGUGAACCACUUAAAUGAUGUGCUCCAAGCCAUGUCCUAACUAAAUAGUAAGUGUAACAGAAAUGAUGACAACAGUCUUUUCACACAUACACACACCCCUCUCCAAAACUGGGAAUCAAAAGGAUGACUCUGCUGCAGCUUCCCUUACUGCAUAUCAUUUCGCAUGCCUAAUAAAUACUAAUUAUUAUACUGGGAUAUUCCAAUAAAAAAUGAAGAACUGAAUUCAGACAUAUUUUCUAGCCAUUAUAAGGUGGCUCUGCAAACAGAAUUUUAGCAAUUGUAUUUCACAGCUAAAGUGACUACAGCAUUCAGACUGGGAGAUAGCUUCUAUAUAACACAAGAAACCCCUUCCAAAUCAUGACUCGUUGAGGGCACCUGGCUGUCUCCUAGGGAAGGCACUCCAGAGUGAACCAGUUCUCUAUGGGCAGCUUUACCAGAACGCCAAACAUGUAAAUGGUUAUUUCUUCAUUGAGGAUAGACAGAGAUCUUGCUGGAAUCGGAUGCAAGCAAAAUGACACAUGGAUGGUAAAAGAACUGGGAGUGGGGAGUGUCUAGUUCCAGAGAUAGCUAGCUGUUUUUGAGUGUGCCAUUUUAACCAGACAUGGACUUGAGGUGUUGGUGGAGAUCAGUUUUCUCCAUUAUUCUCCCCAUUGCCGAAAACUGUUUAUUGGUCAUGCUUAUGCAAAUAAAUGACCCUUUAUCGGGUAGUAUUUUCAAUAUAGUAUAAUUUAUAUUCUACUUUUUUGGUGAUUGAAUUAGCAUUGCAUGGUAAUUUGUACCUGUCUUGUGUCUUUUACUUGGUGAAUAUCUGAAGGGAGUGGGAAAUAAACCCCUUGCUGUUUCAGUAAGGGCAUAAUCGCCAGUCACUAGUUAAAUCCAAAUAUAUUGUUAUAAAAAACUGAUUUGUCCUCUCUUGCCUUAUAGUCUUACUAUGAGAAUUUUUUGAUAUCAAGUAUUAUAUUUGUGUUUACCUAAUAUCUCUGAAGAAAGUGUGGUAUUUGUAACUCAACUGUGUGAAUGUUUAUUGUUUAUUAUUUCAGAAAAUAAUUUUUUGGGGGCAGUGUAUUUAAUUUUUUUUGGUUUGGAUACUUUGUCCUAAGAGAGCAAUUACUUGUAUGUCCUCUUUUUACUGUUAUACAAUAAACUUGUCAUAAAAGCUGACUCUGUA